CAGCAGCCGCGGGAAUACGUAGGGUGCAAGCGUUGUCCGGAAUUAUUGGGCGUAAAGAGCUCGUAGGCGGUUUGUCGCGUCUGCUGUGAAAACGCGAGGCUCAACCUCGCGCCUGCAGUGGGUACGGGCAGACUAGAGUGUGGUAGGGGAGAUUGGAAUUCCUGGUGUAGCGGUGGAAUGCGCAGAUAUCAGGAGGAACACCGAUGGCGAAGGCAGAUCUCUGGGCCAUUACUGACGCUGAGGAGCGAAAGCGUGGGGAGCGAACAGGAUUAGAUACCCCUGUAGUCCCUGUCUCUUAUAA
This 301-nucleotide ribosomal RNA is filed under the name uncultured bacterium. RNAcentral's name for it is "partial 16S ribosomal RNA". It matches the Rfam family "Bacterial small subunit ribosomal RNA", at positions 509 to 809 of the family's 1533-position model. The record is from RNAcentral.